This 628-nucleotide long non-coding RNA is filed under the name Lathyrus oleraceus (garden pea). RNAcentral's name for it is "Pisum sativum (pea) long non-coding RNA (PSAT_LNC040788)". Lineage: Eukaryota; Viridiplantae; Streptophyta; Magnoliopsida; Fabales; Fabaceae. The record is from RNAcentral.
UUGCAUAAAUUUCAGUUUGUCAAAAAUUUGUUAUUCUAUUAUUUGUAAGGAAUGGUAAAACACAUUUUAAUUAAACACACAUACAAUGCAAAAAAAAAACAUUACUCAAUCAAUAUCAAUAUACAACCACAAUGAAAAAUAAAAUAAAAAACUUUACUCAAUCCAAUGCUUCUUCUAGGGAAGAGCCUCAAGUUCAUCAUUCUGUAAAAAAACAAAUAUUUCAAAAUAACUACAAACAGUUCAAAAUAAUAGAAAAUGCUAAAAUAAGAAUUGAAGACAUGAAAAAUACGCAGAAAGUAUUAGUGUUCAGUUUUGGACCUUCAUCUUAAGAAUUAGAUUUUCCUUUUGCAACCGCAGUAUUUGAUUCUACAAUACGGCUACUACACCCUGCUAAUCAAACAAAUCAUUUCACAAAAUUCUCCACAAAAUUCUUGUUCAGGAUAACUUGAUAAGCAAUGGUUGGCUACAAUAUCAAACAUAACAAAAUUAAGUAAAUAAAUUGAAAAAAAGUUAAUAUAAAAAUCAAAAGUAGAAUUAAAAGAAUCCUUCGUCAGCUCGUUUUGAAAUCUCAAGAAAUUCGGUGAAUAUGUUCUUCGUCCCACUCCAACGAUCAAGAACAAUACUCUAA